This 93-nucleotide transfer RNA is filed under the name Micromonospora endophytica. RNAcentral's name for it is "Li et al. 2019 tRNA-Pro". Lineage: Bacteria; Bacillati; Actinomycetota; Actinomycetes; Micromonosporales; Micromonosporaceae. The record is from RNAcentral.
GCUCGCCGUCGGCCAGUUCGACGACCACGCCGCCCGGACCGGUGUGCCACCGGCCGGGCAGGUCGGCGAAGCGUUCCGGUCGCUCGGUGAGCC